CCUACGGGUGGCUGCAGUGAGGAAUAUUGGUCAAUGGUCGUAAGACUGAACCAGCCAAGUAGCGUGCAGGAUGACGGCCCUAUGGGUUGUAAACUGCUUUUAUGAGGGGAUAAAAUGCGUCACGUGUGAUGUUUUGUAGGUACCGCAUGAAUAAGGACCGGCUAAUUCCGUGCCAGCAGCCGCGGUAAUACGGAGGGUCCGGGCGUUGUCCGGCUUUAUUGGGAGUAAAGGGAGUGUAGGCGGUGUGGUAAGCCAGUAGUGAAAGGCUAGAGCUCAACUAUGGUAAGGCUAGGGGUACUAUAAUACUAGAGUAUCAGAGAGGAUUGCAGAAUUCCUGGUGUAGCGGUGAAAUGCGUAGAUAUCAGGAGGAAUACCGUUAGCGAAGGCGGCAAUCUGGCUGGAAACUGACGCUGAGGUGCGAAAGCGUGGGUAGCAAACAGGAUUAGAUACCCCAGUAGUC
RNAcentral lists this ribosomal RNA (460 nucleotides) under uncultured bacterium. RNAcentral's name for it is "partial 16S ribosomal RNA". It matches the Rfam family "Bacterial small subunit ribosomal RNA", at positions 338 to 795 of the family's 1533-position model. The record is from RNAcentral.